AAUAAUGGAUAUAUUAUUUGGUGUUUGGCUGCUAUGCAGAAACUCUGGUUUCAUAACAUGAUGGGUGAAGAUGACAUCCAGGCACCACCCCUGUGCUUUAUCAGUCCACACAGAUGUUGCUUAAUUGUACUGAUAUGAAAUGUCAUAACACCAAAGAAGGGAGAAAAUGUGACGUAUAAAGGUUGACUGCAUCUAAAUAGCUUCCCCAUGGACACUAAUCAGAGGUAUGCUGAUAAUUGUCAUGGCUGUCCACUCUGGGAGAGGAAGCUGAAACAGGAGAAGGGUGCAGAGAGGUCCGCCAGCAUCCGGCUGCUAGCCAUCUCUCCGGUCAUCUGUGCUAUGCCAGCCAUGGCAUCCAGAGUGAAGCCUGCGGAAGACAAAGCUGGAUGCUUACAACCAAACCGCACAACCUCCCUCCAUAUUUAAUCACACUAAAUCUAAAUGCAAUGUGGAUAAACAGACGCGCAGGCAUUCCUGUUCCAACCCUGACAUUCAUCCAAGUCCAAAUCUGCACAAAUAAGAGGAGAAGAAGUGGAGAUGAGGAGCUGAGAUGCGGGGCGGGGAUCACAGAAGUGUUUACAACCACAAAAUGCUGGAGACUAAUCUUCACGGCAUUGUUUGCACGGACCCCAUGUGUUCAGUCAUUUCAUGGAAAUAGACUCGGCAGUAUUCAUCUGCACGCAUUCUUUGCAUUGCAUUUAUAUAUAUACAUAUAUAUUUACGAGUGGUUAUCUGCUUUAGUGCACUGAGAAUCUUACUGAAAAUGAAAUUAAAGUGGAAGAUGUGCGUCUCAUCUCUUCUCAUCUUCUCUAAUUUCUGGGCCCACUCUGAGAGCAGCCUCAUGUAGCUCUGUUAAUGAGAUUACCAGCACUUUCUUCUUAGGGGAUUGUAUUAGCUUUCACAUGCUGGACUCUCACAUUCCAGUCGCUGUUAUGUAAUUCAUACAGUUUUUGCAACGGGCAGGUAGAUUGCUCCGCUUUUUAAAUCUUUCUGUAGCAGUAUAUCGUUCUGCUAUUAACUUUUCUGGCUUUUUUUUGUCUCCUCUGCAGACUUUCUGUCGUGUAUUGCUUUUUAUUGUGCUAGCACACCAACAGGAAUCAAUAAAAGUAGUCUAAUUUCUCUCACAGGUGCACUCU
This is a long non-coding RNA of Oreochromis niloticus (Nile tilapia), 1136 nucleotides long. RefSeq lists it as uncharacterized. NCBI's taxonomy places the organism in Eukaryota, Metazoa, Chordata, Actinopteri, Cichliformes, Cichlidae. The record is from RefSeq and is a predicted model, not a curated record. The transcript has 3 exons.